ACAUGCAGAAACAGGGCGUGGCCAUGGGGUCAAAUGUGGCCCCAACCUAUGCCAAAAUAUUCAUGCACCGGUUUGAGGAGGAUGUCGUCUAUGGAUGCCACUAUUUUCGUCACGUAACCUACAGACAGGAAAACGAUGUUGGCGUACAGCAGUAAUCACCCCAGACCAAUGAUGAUGUGUCACGGAGAUUAGCGAGGAGAAGACAGAGGUUGAUUCAAGAGUUUGUGUCCUGGUUACCAUGACAAUAUGCAAAUGGUCUAUAUAAUCUUUUUUGACAGUUAUGUAUUUAUUCAUUCAUUGCCGGUGAGCCCUUAUGGAGGAGAACACUCUGAAUUGAUGGUGAUAUAUGGGAUUAGGAUGUGGAUGUGACAUGACCCUGCAUUGACGUGCAGGCUUGUGUUCAGUCCAUGCCCACAGAGGAGGGCUCCAUGUCUGUUCAGGGUAUGGAUGCGCUCAUUUGGUCCCAUACAGCCACCCCCCACAUUAGUUGCAGGUAGCUCAUUAAUAGAGCUCUGCAUUGGGACUCACUGGCUGGUUUGAUUUGGUCAUCAUGAUGUGCGACACGCAUGAUGGUUCAUGCGAUAUUCCCUUAUUCAAUAUGGUCGCUUAGGCAUCCAGAACAUAGGGCCCAGACGCACAGACACGCCUGUCAUAUUGUUAAGAUGAAAGCAGCAUACGUCAUCCUGACAUGCGCACUGCCGCAUGGGGCAUGCCGAAGCAGGCGAUGGGUAACUGGACGCCGCCAUACUCCUGGUUUCUCUUCCCUCUUUUCUCUUUUUGAUACAUCAUGUAGUAAGCACUCACUUUAGUUAAUUGAGUACAUAUGACACACAAUCAUGUUAUUUAUAAUAAUUUAUAUAUUUGCAUUGAGAAUCAUGGUUGUUUUAAUGUUUUUGUUGCACAUGGAACA
Molecule: long non-coding RNA, 910 nt
Organism: Bufo gargarizans (Asiatic toad)
Lineage: Eukaryota; Metazoa; Chordata; Amphibia; Anura; Bufonidae
Exons: 2
Source: RefSeq, a predicted model, not a curated record